This 1445-nucleotide long non-coding RNA is filed under the name Trifolium pratense (red clover). Its description in RNAcentral is "long non-coding RNA (TPRA_LNC008501)". Lineage: Eukaryota; Viridiplantae; Streptophyta; Magnoliopsida; Fabales; Fabaceae. The record is from RNAcentral.
CCUAAUUGUAUUUUAGAAAGUAACCCAGUUGGAUAAUCAAAGCAAGGAGCAAGUAAAGGAAGUAAAAAUUAUAAACGGAAUAAUAAACACAAACACACAAUACUCAAGUAUGAUGGAAAAACAAAAGGACGUGGCUGAGUAGCAUAAAUCAAUUAGCAGCAGUAACUCUUAAUUUUUUCAACUCCUUGCAAAAACUAAGUCAUGCCAAUUGCCAAUUAUUCCAUAAAAACAUAACAGGAAAUGCCUACAAGAUAAGAAAGAAUCACAANNNNNNNNNNNNNNNNNNNNNNNNNNNNNNNNNNNNNNNNNNNNNNNNNNNUGCCAAAGAAUAGUAUCAGUUUUACUUAUGAUAUAUACUAAGCAUUAGACACAUUUUCUAAUUCUACCAAAUGCUAACUAAAGACAAACAAAAGGGUAUGCUCUAAGCUAAAGAAAAACAAAACUUCUAUACUCACAAUAAAUGGUGUCUGACAAUACAUCACGUUCAAUUUAAAUUUUCCACAUGCUAACUUAAGGGUUCAAGAAACCAACCAUAUUAUUUCAAACUUUACCUUCUCGCAUGACAAAUAGAAAAUUCCUUUGAUUAAAGCAACCAAUCCUUAGUGCCAUUGAGUUUGUAAUAUAUCCUGAAAGUUAUGAUAAUAAUCAUUACAUGUGAAUUGGUAAAAAGUCUUAAAACACAAGGGAACUAAGAAACCAUCCAACAACUUAUAGUUAGCAAACAAGCACAACAACUUUCAAGAACUAUCAAAUAAAGAGUAUGCAAUCCAACAAAAAUAUAUUAUAAACUUACAUAACCAUCAAAAGUGGUAAUUCAGAUUUAGAAUGCUUUCCUACAUGUUCCCAAUCUCUAUAUCCAAAACAUGUACAUACACGGGAGAGUUUCCAACAAUCAGAAUGGCAAAGAUAAAAUUAGGGAUUUCAGCUAUUUCAAAGACAAAUUUCCACGAGAGUAUGACUCUAUUUGACAAAAAUUAGCGGAUAUUGAAAAGUAGAUUAAAGUACCUUACCAAAAGCACCCCUUUAUACCUUAUUUCAUCUAUUUAACUAGAAUAAAUUAUCACUGAUGUUAAAUAAGUUACUGAUAACUAAAUGUGUGGAGAAAUCUACAAGCAUCAAGAACGUGGGAAACAAUUGUCUAAUCGCAAAUUCUGGACAGAACUACCAGAUUCCAAAUCGAAGCUUAGAAACCACAGUAUUACACAUCAUAGAAAAUUGAGAUUGAGAUAAACAUAGUUCGGAUCUACUUACUGAAGAAAUAGGGAUACAUAUUGAUUAAGACAUGAACGUGAUGAUGGCGGCAACAACGAAGAGAACUGUUGAAAAACCCUUGAAAACUCUGAAAGCAAACUGAAGCAAAACAAAAGGAAAAUUAGAAUCAGAAUCUAUUGAAGAAUGAGAAGACUAGAAUCGAAAGGAAAACCGAUUUAACCUUGAAAACUCUG